This 443-nucleotide ribosomal RNA is filed under the name uncultured bacterium. RNAcentral's name for it is "bacterial SSU rRNA". It matches the Rfam family "Bacterial small subunit ribosomal RNA", at positions 29 to 459 of the family's 1533-position model. The record is from RNAcentral.
AACGAACGCUGGCGGCGUGCCUAACACAUGCAAGUCGAACGAGAAAGGGGCUUCGGCCCUGAGUAAAGUGGCGCACGGGUGAGUAACGCGUGGGUAAUCUGCCCUCGAGCGGGGGAUAACAUUCCGAAAGGAGUGCUAAUACCGCAUGAGACCACGUUUCUGCGGAGAUGUGGGAAAAGAUGGGGAUCUUCGGACCUGUCACUUGGGGAUGAGCCCGCGUACCAUUAGGUAGUUGGUGAGGUAAUGGCGUCACCAAGCCGAAGAUGGUUAGCUGGUCUGAGAGGAUGAUCAGCCACACUGGGACUGAGACACGGCCCAGACUCCUACGGAGGCAGCAGUGGGAAUAUUGCGCAAUGGGGGCAACCCUGACGCAGCAACGCCGCGUGUGUGAUGAAGGCCUUCGGGUCGUAAAGCGACUGUCGGGUGGAACGAGCGCCGAGGGU